Molecule: long non-coding RNA, 2499 nt
Organism: Lolium rigidum
Lineage: Eukaryota; Viridiplantae; Streptophyta; Magnoliopsida; Poales; Poaceae
Exons: 4
Source: RefSeq, a predicted model, not a curated record
CAUUGCGAAGAAACGUAUCGAGCCCCGAGCCGCUUUCCUCUCUCUCCCGAUGUACAUGGCCUCCAAGACACGCCACCCUCUUCCACUCUCCUCCAGAUCUUCCUCUCGUCGGGGCGGCUCCCGGACCUCCGCCGCCACCGCAGCCGCGCUGGCUCAUCUCACCGGCGUCCUCCACCAGCACGACGUCAUCCCAGCAACACCACCCGCCUCUGUGACAAGAACCACUGACGGGCGAGGCGAAGAGUUCGCAUACGGGGCAUGACGAGGCGGCGACGGCGGCGCGGUGAGAUUUGUGAGUCAACUUAGUGGCGAGGAGAGAAUGAUCCCAUGCCCGCGCCCCUCCUCGGCAGGGCUGGAUCGAGGGUCUGAUCGCCUUACAUCGCCGGUGAGUUCCCCAUAUCGGUAAUCUCUCUGCCCAGAUUGAAACCUGCCACCAUCACCCAGCAUCUUCUCCAUCCAGUUAUGCCGCAACUAACCUCGUCCAGAGAGAUCAAGCCAAACAGAAACAUUCUUGACGACGAUGCAUCAGGGGCAUCUACAGAGGCAACAAACCGUGGACGAUUUGGGGCUCCUUCGGCAUGAAGCAGCAAGCCAUGUCGAAUUGAGAUGGAGUUGGGAAAGGAGUGGUCUGCAUCCAGGAAUGCAUCUGCGAGUGGAGCUCCAAACGGCGUGUUGGUGAAUGGCAAUGUCAAGAAACACAACUCUACGGAACAUUGUGAUUUAGGCUUGCAAGAGAGAUAUUCUGAUGCUAUUCCAGCAAGAUUGUUUAGUGACAGUUGCACGUAUAUAUGACUUCUUCUCCAGGUGAUACCAAAUUACGCGAAUGCGUUGGGAUAUGCAUCGAGCUUGUUUCCUGGUGGUACAAGUUUCCUGAUAUUGAUUGAAUUGGCUCGCAAUACUUGGCCUAGAAGUAAGAUUGCUCCAAGAUUUAGUUGCACUUGUACUCAUGGAUUCAGUUUUCUUGUGCUUUUUGGAGAUUAAAGUGCACCUUCCUGCUGUCAGAUUGCCACUAGGUGGAUACACGAUCCUAAUAUAUAUUUUGAUAUUUUUUUAUCAUCACUCGAAAGUGUCUGGGUUUGAUGCUGGUUUGAACCUUAAAUGUAGCAGUUGUAUGACACUAUCUCAUUUCAGAAUCAUUGAAGUACAAAAGCAGAGUAGAUCUUCCUCUCCAAGGGCUCCAUUCUAUGGGCCAAUACAAGGUGAGCUAGCUAGCUUCUUUAACCUGUACUGUUUAAAUUAAAUAUCCUUAAUUUCAGGUAUUAUUAAUUGCAUUUUGCAUGCAUAAUGUUAUCCUCACUUGUGUCCUGGUCCGGGAUUGGAGGCCCCCUUGUUGAUUAUGAUGGCAACUUUGUUGGGAUGAACCAUUUCCACAUAAAGCCCAGCAAGCUGCAGUUGCACUGUAGUUGAUUAAGGUUAUACGAGUGCCGUCAAUACAUAUAUAUGCUACACCGUGAACUUACAUUUAAGAAGACCCAUGGAGAAAUUGUUUAAUAAAUUUCGCUGACGUGAAAUAUCUAUAACUUUUUGGCUCCCUUGUUAUAUACUUCCCUUUGUUCAAUAGCUUUAUUUUGUUGCUUUGUCCAUGAUAUCUCAUCUUUUGUGGAUUUACCAGCCAGUUUUCUACACUGUGUUGUAUGGUUGAUGAUGCUACAAGAGCAAGAAUCCGAUAUGAGAUGGAAGAACCAUGUUUUCACAUGAUAGUGAUGUGAGGUGAGCAAAACUAUUUCACAGGACACUACUUCAGCCCUAGACUCAAGAGGCGCUGCUGACAGCCGUUGAACUCAAAGGAAGAGAGUAAAAGGAGACAGGGUGGUUAUAUUCAUUUCGACUUGCAUAAAUUGUUGCACUUGUAUAGUUCAAGAACUAUAUCAAGCACUUUUAACUUGCGUAUCAUGCCAGACCAGUGUAUCAUUAAUUCUCUCAAGGAGACAUUUUACAAGGUUUUGCUUCAGAAAUGAACCAAAGCGCUACCUCACUUGGUUCAAAAUCAAUAGAACCUCUUGCUUGAAAAAUGAAUCUGGAGUGUUCUCACUUGCUUCAGAUGUGGUGUUUGAUUUGAAGGCAAAUCAAGGUUGCAGUAAAAUUUAUUUCCAUAUUAAUGUGUAGUAGGAAACCAGGAGUGCUUUCACUGUUAUUGGUAAGUUGUUCUACCAAUGUCUGGAUUAUAAGAGCGAGGUAUGCUACAUAUCUUAAUCUGAAUUGUGGCCUUCCUCAGUAACUCAAUUCAUCGAUGGUAAAAAGUCCAUAUAAUUAUAUAUACACGCUAUAAUUUAGCCUAUCCUCUUUAUAUGUUUCUAACUACAUGCAAAUAAUGCAAAUUCGUGAAUUAUUACUAGGGAAAUAUUUUGUUCCCAUCCGUGGGAGUAUUAUAUGGAAACUCGACCUGUCAGUGAAAGAAAUUUGCCUGCCUUCCUGUCAUAUUUACAUUUACCUUGUUAUUUCAAAACUGCAGAAUGCUAUCUUGUCCCGUGUAUAUAAAAUGAAUGUUUUAUUGUUUUA